RNAcentral lists this ribosomal RNA (459 nucleotides) under uncultured bacterium. RNAcentral's name for it is "partial 16S ribosomal RNA". It matches the Rfam family "Bacterial small subunit ribosomal RNA", at positions 338 to 795 of the family's 1533-position model. The record is from RNAcentral.
CCUACGUGUGGCUGCAGUGAGGACUAUUGGUCAAUGGCCGGAAGGCUGAACCAGCCAAGCCGCGUGAAGGACGAAGGUGCCAAGCAUUGUAAACUUCUUUUGUCAAGGAACAAAAUCAGGCUCGAGAGCCUGACCGAGGGUACUUGAAGAAAAAGCAUCGGCUAACGCCGUGCCAGCAGCCGCGGUAAUACCGAGGAUGCGAGCGUUAUCCGGAUUUCUUGGGUUUAAAGGGUGCGUAGGCGGACUGUUAAGUCAGGGGUAAAAGCCCGGGGCUCAACCCAGGCGAGCCGUUGAACAUGGCUGUCUUGAGAUGUCGAGAGGUAUGCGGAAUGCGCAGUGUAGCGGUGAAAUGCUUAGAUAUUGCGCAGAACGCCGAUUGCGAAGGCAGCAUACCGGCGGCGAUCUGACGCUGAGGCACGAAAGCGUGGGUAUCGAACAGGAUUAGUUACCCGUGUAGUC